Non-coding RNA from Camellia sinensis, 706 nucleotides. NCBI's taxonomy places the organism in Eukaryota, Viridiplantae, Streptophyta, Magnoliopsida, Ericales, Theaceae. The record is from RefSeq and is a predicted model, not a curated record.
UCUUUGUUGGCGAUGUUCUUUUGCCUGUAUUUCUGGUGAUUGCUUGGAUGCCAUCAGCAGAGCCAAUGCCUUCUUUUCCCAGGCAUUUACCAAGUCUCAACAUUUUAAGUUUGGGUAAUGAAUUUUUUGGAGAUUGGAUGGGUGUGGCACUUGUUUUGCACUAAACUCAGUAUAAGUACUGCAGUAGUUGUUGAUAUGAGUAUUUGCUUGAAGAUUUUAAUUCACUCUCUAUUUAUUAGGAUUACAUGCUGUGCCCAUAGUUUGUUUUCUUUUGUAAAAAUUGCAGAUCCCAUUCCAGCUUGGAUUGUCAAAAUUGGAUCUACGGAAGGUGGUGAAAUCCAGUUUAUCUGGGGUUGACAAGUCCAUCACUGCGAUGUAUAAGAAAUUGCAAAAGAACCUAACCUCAGAGGAGGUUUUGCCUUCUUUGUGGGAUAAGUGCAAGACAAGAAAUGCAAUAGGGUUAGUUGCUCCAGCUAUUGCCGCGAGUUUAGGUGACACAUACAUUGGGCACCCUUGUCCCUGUGAUAGGAGCAAGUGGAUUUGCUACAACUGCAACUGCAACUGCUAUAGGAACUAUUGUCGGUAGUUUUAGAUAAUCUCUUAAUAGUUGUCGAUAUGUUUAGAAAGUUAGAUAUGCAUAGUUUUGGAUGGUUUAAAUUUUUUGUACAGUUUAGAACUUAAGGAUAUAGUUUUCGAAUGUUUGGAA